Molecule: long non-coding RNA, 1679 nt
Organism: Homo sapiens (human)
Lineage: Eukaryota; Metazoa; Chordata; Mammalia; Primates; Hominidae
Source: Ensembl
AGGAAGGAGUCCAGGGGUGUUUUAGCGUAAUCAUGCUGGCUCAUGCCGCUGAAGGAACAGCUGGGAUUGAGAACUCACUGCUGUGAGGAAACUUGCAAUUGUAUUCCCAUCCCACAGUCACCAGUGGACAGAGCUACCCAUGACAUUCUGGAUGAAAACCUCUGUACUAGAGAAUUAUUCCUUGAUAUCUAUUUAUGGAGAAUUGCUUGUGGGACACCUGUGGAUACCAAAAUUAGUGGAUGCUCAAGUCCAGUAGAAGAAAUGGAGUACUAUUUCCAUAUAAUCUAUGCAUACCAGCAGGUCUACCUCCCACCAAGCGAUCAGCCUCCGUUCUGCUGACUCCAACAGGGUGCACCCUUUCUCUAAUUAACUAAAAUGGCUAUGGAAAGCAAAGGAGGCCUUGUGUUGGGUGAACCAAUUAUUUUGAAGGGUAUUAAGUCAUCAGAUUUACUUUUAUCUUGAUUGCAUUGUGGAAAUCGUGCAUAAUUAAUGGUGGGAGCUUAUUAGGAAAAUGAUUAGGCAAAUUACACAGGUGUCGGAUGCAUUUUUUAUGAUAAAUUUGCUAGAACAAUCCUGCAAUUCCAUCUGUUCAGCUCACAUCAGAAUGUCACUCUGAAGAAAUUAAUGGUGCAGAGUUAUACAAAGUUACUACAAGCUUUGGUUGCAGAUUUAGGGGAUGGCUUUGCCAGGAAAAGCCCUUCAAUAGCAGCCUGGCCAAAGAUUCUGGGCAAAUAAGUUGGCUGGGUCCAUGGGCAAUCAAGAUUCUGGGACCUGCAAUCAAACUUGCUGCUGGCGUUUAAAUAACUAUCUUGGAAUUUUACUGAGUUUAUAAGCCUGCAAAUAAGUUAUACUGAUAUAACGAAAGUCAGGAGGGACAACAUCUGAGCAAGAUAAAUCUGAGGCUACCAGCGGGAUGUUACACUCGGUCUACUGACUCACAUGCAUCUUCUCCAAGAACACCCUCACAGACACACCUGGAGAAGCUCAAGCAUUCUAAUCAAAAUGAAAACCACCUGGAAUUCUCUUUCAGCAGAAGAGGAAUGGGUUCCAUUCCUAUUGAAGCAUUGAGAAUAAAUAACCCUUUACCAGCUACCUGAGUAUUCCUUAAUUCAGUCAAGUUUCAUCCAAAAUCAACUGUUGCAACUUAUUCUGAAAUGUUCAACUAGCUUUACAUUCUUUAGAUUAGGUCCUGCUUGUUCAUGAUAUAUUGUACUUUUGUAUAGAGCUAGAUUUUAUUUAAAAUACUGUGAAGUUUGUUUGAGGCUGAGGUGGGAGAAUCAAUGAGCCCAGGAGGUUGAGGGUGUAGUGAGCCGUGAUUGUGCCACUGUGCUAUCCCCUGGUAACAGAGUGAGACCCUGUCUCAAAUACAUAAAUAAACAAACAAACAAAUAAAUAAAUAAAUAAAUAAAAUUUCUACAUUGUAGCAAAAAAACAAAUAGAAAUUGAAAUCCAAAAUUGUAUAUACAAUUUAAAUUUGAAUUAAAAAGCACAAAGUGCUUACAAAUUUUAAUAAUUUUUGUGUAAGACUAGCACACUAAAAAUUAUGAAAUAAUACUGAAAGGGUGAUAUAAAUAAAUGCAGAGAUUUAUGGUGUUUAUGGAUUGAAAGACUCAAUAUCAUUAAGUUGUUCAUUCUCAAGUCAAUCUGUAGAUUCAAGGUAAGCUUAAUUAAAAUCUCAA